This 499-nucleotide ribosomal RNA is filed under the name Taeniolella stilbospora. RNAcentral's name for it is "SSU rRNA". It matches the Rfam family "Eukaryotic small subunit ribosomal RNA", at positions 57 to 560 of the family's 1831-position model. RNAcentral also lists the same sequence under 1 other name. The record is from RNAcentral. Lineage: Eukaryota; Fungi; Ascomycota; Dothideomycetes; Kirschsteiniotheliales.
GUCUAAGUAUAAGCAACUAUACGGUGAAACUGCGAAUGGCUCAUUAAAUCAGUUAUCGUUUAUUUGAUAGUACCUUACUACAUGGAUAACCGUGGUAAUUCUAGAGCUAAUACAUGCUAAAAACCCCAACUUCGGGAGGGGUGUAUUUAUUAGAUAAAAAACCAAUGCCCUUCGGGGCUCCUUGGUGAAUCAUAAUAACUUAACGAAUCGCAUGGCCUUGCGCCGGCGAUGGUUCAUUCAAAUUUCUGCCCUAUCAACUUUCGAUGGUAGGAUAGUGGCCUACCAUGGUAUCAACGGGUAACGGGGAAUUAGGGUUCUAUUCCGGAGAGGGAGCCUGAGAAACGGCUACCACAUCCAAGGAAGGCAGCAGGCGCGCAAAUUACCCAAUCCCGACACGGGGAGGUAGUGACAAUAAAUACUGAUACAGGGCUCUUUUGGGUCUUGUAAUUGGAAUGAGUACAAUUUAAAUCCCUUAACGAGGAACAAUUGGAGGGCAAGU